Molecule: ribosomal RNA, 698 nt
Filed under: Cortinarius sp. 2 SGT-2012
Lineage: Eukaryota; Fungi; Basidiomycota; Agaricomycetes; Agaricales; Cortinariaceae
Description: eukaryotic LSU rRNA
Rfam family: 5.8S ribosomal RNA (bases 170-323)
Source: RNAcentral
UCAUUAUUGAAAUAAACCUGAUGGGCUGUUGCUGGUUCUCUAGGGAGCAUGUGCACGCCUUGUCAUCUUUAUAUCUCCACCUGUGCACCUUUUGUAGACCUUUCAGGUCUAUGUUGCUUCAUUUACCCCAAUGUAUGUUAAUAGAAUGUUGUGCCUAUAUAAUAUAUACAACUUUCAGCAACGGAUCUCUUGGCUCUCGCAUCGAUGAAGAACGCAGCGAAAUGCGAUAAGUAAUGUGAAUUGCAGAAUUCAGUGAAUCAUCGAAUCUUUGAACGCACCUUGCGCUCCUUGGUAUUCCGAGGAGCAUGCCUGUUUGAGUGUCAUUAAUAUAUAUAUCAACCACCUCUUCUUGAGUGGUUUGGAUGUGGGGGUUUGCUGGCCUCUUAAAAGGGUUCAGCUCUCCUGAAAUGCAUUAGCAGAACAACCUGUUCAUUGGUGUGAUAACUAUCUACGCUAAUUGAAUGUGAAGGGCAGUUCAGCUUUCUAACUGUCUGUGGACAAUUUCAUUAUUAAUGUGACCUCAAAUCAGGUAGGACUACCCGCUGAACUUAAGCAUAUCAAUAAGCGGAGGAAAAGAAACUAACAAGGAUUCCCCUAGUAACUGCGAGUGAAGCGGGAAAAGCUCAAAUUUAAAAUCUGGCAGUCUUAUGGCUGUCCGAGUUGUAAUCUAGAGAAGUGUUAUCCGCGCUGGACCGUGU